Myotis daubentonii (Daubenton's bat) is the source of this 1799-nucleotide long non-coding RNA. RefSeq lists it as uncharacterized. The transcript is spliced from 4 exons. The record is from RefSeq and is a predicted model, not a curated record. Lineage: Eukaryota; Metazoa; Chordata; Mammalia; Chiroptera; Vespertilionidae.
UCUACUGUUCCAUUAGAGAACUUCAACUGAAGCAACUCCAGCAUCUCAGGUGGAGGACAACUCUAGAAAUUCUUAUGGAAUAGUUGCUUUCUGUUGGUGUUAGUUGUAUUAUAUAGUUUAUACAUAGAAGUUGAUGAGGAUAUGUCGUCAUCAUCAUGAUCAUCAUCAUCAUCAUCAUACGAGUCAUACAGGCUGCAUCUCCGAUGCCUAGACCGCACAUACCACUUGGCAAAAUAAAUGUCAGUGGACACUGACUGCAUGAAGCUAUAUUUCAGUGGGAAUGGAAGGAUAUGCUAGCUAGUGUUGACAUAGGAGAGAUGGAAAAAGCCUGGAUGAAUUGGCCUGUUUCACCCUUUUGUCUCAGGCAGCCUUGGCUUGACUGGUGGUUUAACUCAAACUGAUGAAAGGUAGUUGGCAGAGAAGACAGCAUUGCAAAGGAUGCAGUACGAUGAUGCCAAACUUUCAUGUUUCUUUCAAUGAGACAGGAAAGUCUCUCAUGUCCCCUAAUAGGCUGGCUGCUUAGAUGCAAAAUCUUUGAGUUCAAGAAUAUCAGUAUUACCUGGGGACCCACCCAGCCACCUGCUCUGUCUUCAUGCCACAUGACAACCAAGCACCAUGGGAAGCUCACAGAUGCCAGAUUGUGCAGCAAGGCCCUGAGUCUGAGAUCAGCUCUUGUUUGCAGAUGUGUGGUGACAGCUGCCAGACACAUUCAGACUGCUCUGGAAUGUUCACACAGCCACUCCCUGUCUGGAAAGUCUUGGGCCAGCCUGUUGCAGUUUUUUUCCUUCUGUUUUUCCUCUUGGUGUGUCCCUUCUGAGUGUGUUGUCCUGUUUCCUGAGGCAGGAACCUGUCGGCAAGCAAGGUCGGGCAGUGAUGGCACCUCUGGAACUGGCUUUCUGGUAGCUGGUGACCCAGUGGCCUGGCCUCAUCCAUUACUAAUUGUUGACACUUGUGCAUGAAGGAAUAUGUUAGUGACUCACCUUCAUCAGACCACUCUCUGGCCUGGACAGAGAAGACAGGCAGUUCCUCACAUCAUGGCAGAAGAGAGCCCAGCACCUGGGCUGCAGGAAAAUGACACGAAACAAGGAGCCGGGACAGGAAACAUCCUCUCUCUCUCCAUUCCCCCAACAACCCACCACCUGCACCCUGCACCCUACCCCAGUAUGCCCUAUAGCCCACCUCCUGCCAUGCCCUCUCUUCCUGAAGCCAGCGCCCCUUCUCCCUCCUCACCACAUGCUCCGGCCACAUGGGAGAUGUGUCUUUCUCUGUAUGUAACUUGCUUUCCGCUCCUCUGUGCUUCUGUAUGUCAUUCCCUCUGCCUCGAAUGCUCUUCCCUCAAGACUAUUUUGGUUUUGUCUUACUUAAUUUCAAAGCCCAAUUCAAAUUAUUUCUCUCCUUUGAAACUUUCCCAGCUCCCCUUUGUGACUGGGAAGUCCUUUGUGCGAAUCCACACUCUGUAAGGCAAUUAUCAUAUUGUGUCACAGCUGCUCUUGUAUAUCUCAAUUUCCAGUGGACUUGGACUACUUGUUCAUUUUUGGAUCCACUUUACCUAACCAGGGGCUAACAGGGGUGGGCAAACUUUUUGACUCGAGAGCCACAAUGGGUUCUUAAACUGGACCGGAGGGCCGGAACAAAAGCAUGGGUGGAGUGUUUGUGUGAACUAAUAUAAAUUCAAAGUAAACAUCAUUACAUAAAAGGGUACGGUCUUUUUUUUUUCAAUAGUUUUAUUCAUUUCAAACAGGCAGGAUCCGGCCCGCGGGCCGUAGUUUGCCCACGGCUGGACAUAUAACAGACGCUCA